GGACAAAAUAUCACCUUUAUUGCCAGGAGAUAAACCCAGAUGAAAUGUUCAGACUGAACAUCUACAACAAACUUUCAACAUGGAGCAGACACACCAUCGCCUGGUACUGCACAGGAAACCACAGCCUGAUCGAACCCAGAUGCCGCAGACAGGGAAAACCUCCACGACAUCUCCAGAUCUGCCUGGUCUGCACAGAAGACACAGAGACGGUCAGGCACACACUCAAGGCUUGCCCUGCCUAUGCCAAAUUCUGCUCCCCAGACAUCAACUGGGAUGCCAAAACAUACAUAAUCCUUGCAAACAAGGAGACAACCUCAUCCCCUGCCAAUUACCUGAAACGCAUAGAGCUGCGAUGGCAAAUACAUGUCACACAUGCAAUGGAGGCAGAGACCUUGAACGGCCGAGGAAAAAAAGACGGGUAGGCAGGGCCAGUGAGCGGGAGCACAACGACAAUGAGGAUGCCACCUAUGCGAAAAUGAUAAUCCAACUUGCAUUUUUGCAUCCAUCA
This 508-nucleotide long non-coding RNA is filed under the name Selaginella moellendorffii. RNAcentral's name for it is "long non-coding RNA (SMOE_LNC001436)". The record is from RNAcentral. Lineage: Eukaryota; Viridiplantae; Streptophyta; Lycopodiopsida; Selaginellales; Selaginellaceae.